RNAcentral lists this long non-coding RNA (275 nucleotides) under Rosa chinensis. Its description in RNAcentral is "sRNA RchiOBHm_Chr2g0143021". The record is from RNAcentral. Lineage: Eukaryota; Viridiplantae; Streptophyta; Magnoliopsida; Rosales; Rosaceae.
CGAUCCGCCCACUGGAUCAGCGUUAGCUAAGAUCCAGCUACCGCUGGACUUUUAGGCAUUAACAGAUUGUUAUACAGAAACACCAAGGAGAUUUGUUUAUGCAACUCCUGCUACUGACUCAACUUUUGAGUUAUGGUGUAUUACACUUAUGUCCUAACUGCGGUUCGGUUGCUUGAAUCGGUCAAAUUGCAGUAUUUAAACAUUGUGAGGUUAGUGGCAUCAUAAUGCCCUCGUAUGCAAUUUGUAAAAGUUCGGAAAUUUCAAAGCAAUAUAGC